CCUGCCAGUAGUCAUAUGCUUUGUUCAAGGGCUAAGCCAUGCAUGUCUCAGCGCAAGUGGGUCUCAACAACAGGUCUGUGAAUGGCUCCGUACAUCAGCAGUCAUCUAUGUGAUAGAGUGUGCAUGGCAGGCUACAGCUGUCCAAUGGACAUCCUCCAAAACCUGGUGGCUAAUACACGCAUCAAAGCGUCUGCCACAGCAAGGUUGGCACCAAGGACUCUGUCCUGCCAAUCGUGGUGGAUUGCAACCAGCCGAGUGAAAGAUCAGCGUCAGUCAAUGGCAGUGUAACCAGCAGCGGAGUCAGGCUGGUCCUUCGGGACACCUGCCCUGGCAAUUCUGCGUGGCAUGUCCACAGCAAGUCUUGCUUGAUCACAUGAACUUCUGACCUAUCAGCUUUGACUGUGGUGUAGUGGACCACAGUGGCUUUCACGGGUGACAGAGAAUCAGGGUUCGAUUCUGGAGAGGGAGCCUGAGAGAUGGCUACCACUGCUAAGGCAGGCAGCAGGCGCGCAAAUUGCCCAAUGGAGACACAAAUCCGAGGCAGCAACGAACAGCAGCAACUCCAAGGGUCGUUCGGCCCAAGGAGCUUGGAAUGGAUGCUAUCCAAACACAGUGAUGAUUAGCAACUGGAGGGCAAGUCUGGUGCCAGCAGCUGCGGUAAUUCCAGCUCCAAGAGCGUAUACUAACAUUGCUGCUGUUAAAGCACUUGUAGUCAGCCACUGGGCUGCAGGUCUGCCUGAGGCCAGCUUGUGCUGUCUGCCUGACCUUCGGGUUUGGGUGGGUGGUGCUUGUUGGAACCCAACCUCAGGUGGUAUGUCCCUGCUCCCGCAUUACAGAUGGUGUGAGUGCUCCUGCACAAAGCCUUCUUCACUGAAGGUCAAGGCGGUAUAUGCAACCGAGGCUUGUGUCUAGGGCAAUAGAGCCCCAGAGUCCUUGUGGCUCAUGGGGAAGCCCUUCCAAAGGGAGUCCACCAUCACUGUCACCCUGGAAAACUCAGUGUGCUCCAAGCAUCCAGAGACAUCUGAUUGGCUGAAUGAUCAUCCAGUGAAUGGCAAGGCACCGACCUGAUGUGGCAACAGAGUUGUGCUGAGCUUGGCGCCCAAUCAGGGCAAUGUGGUUCUGUUCCCUGGCAUUGCCUUGCCAAGGGUUGCUUCGGCUUCCCUGUGCAGUCCAAAUGUGGCAGUACCAAUCGCAAGUGAGGGAAGCACUCGAGGUGAAAGCUAUUGCAACGCCAGAGGUGAAAUUCUUAGACCGCUGCAGGAGCAACAGCGGCAAAGGCGUUCUGCAAGUCAGUGUUCGUCGAUCAAGAAUGAGAGCCUGGGGAUCAAAGAUGAUCAGACACCGUCGUAGUCCAGAGCUGUAAACGGUACCAGCUCGGUGCUGGUGGGACAUACUCACCAUCCCAUCAGCGCCUGCCUCCCACAACGAGAAAUCCGAGCCAUCGGGUUCAGGGGGGAGUACCGUCGCAAGGCUGGAACUUAAAGGAAUUGACGGAAUGGCACCACAAGGCGUGGAGUAUGCGGCUUAAUUUGACUCAACACGGGGAACGUUACCAGGUCAGGACCCUGCAGGGAUGGACAGAUUGAUAGCUCUUUCUUGAUUCUCGGGAUGGUGGUGCAUGGCCGCUCCUGAUUGGUGGAGUGAUUUGUCUGGUUGAUUCCGAUAACGAGUGAGACAUCUGCCUUCCAGUAGCCCCAGGCUCGCAUUUGGUAGGGAUUGGCUUGCAUCGGCCAAGGGUUCGCCCAAGGCUGUUGUGGCUGCCCGAGAGCCUGUGGACAAGCUUCUCUGAGGUGCUGUGUUCGCUCCCAAGAGCACGCAUGCUAGAGCCAACAGCAGGUCUGUGAUGCUCCCAGAUGUCCUGGGCCGCACGCGCACUACAUUGUCGCAGUGAAGGUGUUUCCACUGGAACCUUAGGACUUGUGCCUGAGGCCUAGCCAGACGUGGCUGGGGAAUCAUGCAAGCCUGUGGCGUACUGGGGAUAGAUGAUUGCAACUGUCUGCCUUGAACAAGGAAUGCCUAGUAUGCGUGUGUCAUCAGCACACACCGAUUGUGUCCCUGCCAUUUGUACACACCGCCCGUCGUUGCUACCGAUGAGUGCUGGAUAGAGCCAUCAGGAGGCCAAAGAGCUUCGUGCUCACACCCAAAAUUGGGCAAUGUCCAGUGCUUAGAGGAAGCAAAAGUC
RNAcentral lists this ribosomal RNA (2182 nucleotides) under Trachelomonas sp. Tukuba080509E. RNAcentral describes it as "SSU rRNA". It matches the Rfam family "Eukaryotic small subunit ribosomal RNA". The record is from RNAcentral. Lineage: Eukaryota; Euglenozoa; Euglenophyceae; Euglenales; Euglenaceae.